This is a long non-coding RNA of Schistocerca nitens (vagrant locust), 1653 nucleotides long. RefSeq lists it as uncharacterized. The transcript is spliced from 7 exons. NCBI's taxonomy places the organism in Eukaryota, Metazoa, Arthropoda, Insecta, Orthoptera, Acrididae. The record is from RefSeq and is a predicted model, not a curated record.
GUAUCCACAUGCAUAUCCACGUGGACUGAGAGAUGGAUGAAGCUGGAUAAAGUUCUGACUACAAUGGGCACUGGAAUAAUUGGAGAAACACAGCACAAAGGAUGAGGCCCUGCUUCGUCAACAGUUCCAGCAACGUUAAGAGAGGCCUGUCUUGGGACCACGAGGAGCCGGUCUCACUCCAGAGCUGUCACAGGACGAACAACUGUGCGCCCCCAAACAUCAGAUAAUAUUGCGCAGAUGCCAUGCACUGUACGUACGAGCAAGAGAACAAGGAAAUACUUAAGCAAAAGGCAACCUGAACCGCAUGAUGAUCAACGAAAUUGUCGAUUCAAAUUAAGAGCCACAUUCGUAAAUAGCAGAAAUGCUUGUUUUCAAGAAGGAGAAGGUUCAGGAGCUUCGACUUAGAAACACUUUACAUCGAAAGCAGAUAUUCGGAGAUGAAGGGAAAAAAAGCAGAAGGCUGCAUUACUAUUCUCAAGUAACAACAAGGACAACAAUGGAACGCAAGUUCAUUACUACGGAGAAAUAUGUCAGACCAUAAUUAACCCUCAACAAAUAUGAAUUCGCCAAUUACUGGGCAAAAUUAUGUGGUUCCGAAGGUGGGAGGACGCUCAUUUUGACGUUAUGGAGAAAGAAGGACUUUUAUUUGUCCUGUUACAAUUCCAGCAAAUUACCAGUCAACUGAUUUGCUAUUCAGCUAUUUCGCAGCAUGAGAAGUAUACCGACGAGUAGCUGCCACACGAGUAAAGGCAGAAAGACACCUACGUCAGAUUACCAGAGAAAGUAAAAAGACGUCCUUCGAAAAUGGGUAUGUGAAACUCUGAAGAUGUCUUCCCAGCUACGUAUUGAGUUUUCACAAGCUGUAUCCGUAAUGUUCAAACACAGUCGAAUUGUCAAGGACGGAAACAUUCAAUAGUUGAUGAGAUGACACAGUACCAGACGAAGUGAGAAAUAGAAUUGCCGUGAAGGACGUUAUUGUCAGGAAAUUAAACAAAAUGGGUUCAAGAAUUGCUACAUGUGAAACAUGUAAACCCAAUGUUCUAAUGUUGCAUCUGUCCUGAAGAGGAAAGCAUGAGACCUAAAACUUCAACGUUUUAAUGCAACAUAUUUUUUGGGUCAUAACAGCAACAUUUAUUUGUGUAUUGAUCCAACUGGUAUACUGACAGUUUGUAGCCAAACAGAGAAUCAGCUAAAUGUAAAUUUCCAAAUCGCAUUUCAAAAAUUGUACGAUAUCUUUUACAUUCCUAUAAUUUAACCCAGUUUCAAAUUUGAUAAAAAAUAAUCCACACACAUUGGUAUGAUAAGAGUCAUAACACAGUUUAUUAAUGUACGUAAUACCCAAUUGGAUUUGAGAUCUCAGGCCAAAGCUCUGAAUAUUAAAUAACUUUUUGUCUUUUGUGCCUAUAAAUUUAGAAAUGCACUAAACCAAAGAUGAGAGUAUUUAUUCAAAACUUACUGAGUAUCAGUUCCUGAGAAAAAAUUUGUACCCAAAAGCAACUUGAUUUGUGAAAGGCUGUAAUAGGAAUGGAAUGUGGUGUUCAGCCGAAAGAAAGCAUUAGGUGUCUCUUUAAGUAUAAAAUCAUAUUAACAACCACUUCAGUGAACACAUACACGUUUGCUACGAAUAACCUUUUUUCAUUGGUUUUUGUAGAG